Rhincodon typus (whale shark) is the source of this 3140-nucleotide long non-coding RNA. RefSeq lists it as uncharacterized. NCBI's taxonomy places the organism in Eukaryota, Metazoa, Chordata, Chondrichthyes, Orectolobiformes, Rhincodontidae. The transcript has 3 exons. The record is from RefSeq and is a predicted model, not a curated record.
AUCGUUGGCAGGCCAGCACUUAUUGUCCAUCGUAGUUGCCCUUGAGAAGUUGAUGGUGAACUGCCUCAUUGAACCGUUGCAAUCCACGUGUUAUGGGUUGACCCACAAUGCCAUUAAGGAGGGAAUUCCGGGAUAUUGACCCAGCAACACUGAAGGGACAGUGAUAUAUUUCCAAGUCAGAUCUUUAUGCCAUUUUGAUGGAGUUUGAAAUAAGGCAUGAUGUUACCUCUGGACUCAGGAUCCAGAAAAAAAGGUCACGAUCAUCGGACAUGCUGCAGGCCACUUCAGACUGAGGUGAAGAAAAAUUUCUUCAUUGAGAGGGUGGCGAUCCUGUGAAAUUCUCCACCACAGGAAGGUACUUAAACUCGUAAAAAAUAAUAAAAUCAGCCUGCACCAGGCCUAAACUCCACCUCUGGGAAGGAUGAAGUUGUCCAGUCCAAGGCUAUACACAGCAUCACCUCAUACCCUGAACCAGUGCAGAUGUAUUCACAUCCAUGGUUUCAUGAUUAGACUUUAAGUCACAAUCUGGUGAGUGUAAAACAGACACAUCUUUGCAGUUGAUGAAGGUGUGAAAACCAAAGUCUCUGACUGCCGAACGUUGUAUAGCAAGCCAUUCACAUUUCUGUGCAGGUGAUAUUGCCCCUGGAAAUAGCCAUCAGAAAUCUUAUGGAGGUUCGGGGGCAGGGACAGGAACCAUCUGGCAGAAAUGUGAGAGGCCAUCUGCAGCCUUGACAGAAAAGUAGAAGAGUCCACACAAGUCCUGAGGUCUGUCAAUGGCUCCAACAUUUGAGGGUAUAGUUUACUCCAUGAAGAAAUUAAUGAUUGUGAUGGAGAGCCAGGUUUAACAGAACACUCUGUGACUGUCGCUUAUGUGCUCAGACUUGUCUUCCAUCACUUUAAUCAUGGACUACAAAGGCAAAAGGGGAAUGAAGCACCACAACUUCCCUUAAGUGCUCCUCCUCCUCCUGAAAUCACGGAGGUGCCAUUAGGCGCUAAUAAUGAGGGCAACACCAGCUAGCUACCAGAGGGUCAUCUCAGGGCACAGCAAGAGAGUGCUGCUGUUCCUCUUCCCCUCUGCCAAUGAUGCCAUCCCCCACUGCAGGUAAGGCCAAAAACAUUGCCCCUGCAGUUGUGCAAAUAGGCUUGACAUCUUCAGCCUCUCUGACUUUGCCUGUCCAUCUGUGGUGCAUUCGAUUUGACGUUAAUGCUUGGCAUCUCACCGGCUCCAAAUUGUUAUCCUCCUGAGCUGCAUGAUCCUCUUUUUUGGUGUUCUGGUAUUGUUGUGCCUGGCAUCAGAUCACCCUCUACUGAUUUCUUCAGGAUAUGCCAGAGAUAGCAGACUCUGGGUGCCCUUAACCGUCUGAAGUGAGCUGCAGAGACGGUAAAAAUCUGGUCAGCACAAUCUUCGUGAUGUCACUUCUGACCUGGGAACUUUUGACAAAUGGGGAACACUAUUCUUUGCAUCAUCAACACCCUGGUCUCUACCAACUCCAUUAUGGACAUCUCCAUUUCUGAUCUGGAGAGAUGACUCUUAGUGUUGUCACAGCAAUGUUGCUAGGCACUUCCAGAUUGACCCUUGAUAUUGAAACCAUCCUUCUUGAUCUUUCCUGCAUUAUCCCUGACCCCCACUUCACCUUCCAUAUCCUGCCUUCGUUGCCCUUGAGUUACCCAUGAUCACACAUGCUCAGCCUUUGUUUACCCUAGAGCUUCCCCAAUAUUGUCCAUCUGAUACACCUGAAACCCUGGAUCUCCCUACUGGCAUACUUGACCACCCAUUUGUAGGUAUUGACUUUCCUGUAUAUUCCAGUUUCUGUCUUCUGUCCUGGACAAGCCCUAAGCCCUAAUAUGUCCACCACAACUCAUUGCUCCCUCCCUCGGUCAGCCAUGCCUGGUCACACUUGUGCAGCCAUCACCCUGCAUCCUUGCUCCCUCAGUCAGCCGUGCCCUGCUCCCCUUGCACAUUGUUUAACCAAUUCCAAUGCAUUAAUGGCUUCUCUCGCAAUUUUCAACAAAGCAACACGUGAAAGAAAAGAAGAUCCUACUUAAUCCAAAACCAUCAGGAAGAUGACCUCAGCAUCUGAGGAUAGAGAGAUGGAGUUAAUAUUUAGAGACCAAUGGUUCUGCUUGGAAUGAAGAACAGGCAGUUUGGACUCAAAACGUUAAUUCUGUUUCUUUCUGCUAGACCUGUGGAGUUUUUCCAGCACUUUCUGUUCUUAUUUUGUAUCUCCAGCUUCCACAAUAUUUUAUUAUAUCAUGACUACCUUGCCUGCUGCAUACCAUCUCUAAGCAGUUAUGAAUCUGAAGGCCUGUAGUUCUAACUUGCUGCAGAGAGAAUUGAAAAGGUACCAAAUAAUCUGACAAAACGUUGUUUUAAUGAAUACACAGGACAUCCUGAUGCAUGAAAAAGAGGUUCCCAUGGCUUGUUCUCUCGCAACCUUCAUUCUCUAUUUUCAUCCUGCUGUUGGGAGCCUGCUAUUUUGCAUCUUACACCCAUCUACUUCUCUUCACAUUGCCAGUAGCAGCACAAAAUUCCAGCUGAAGACUUCAAUUUUAUUCGGAAUGGAAAGUUGAUAUUUAUUAUGAUCAUGAAUUUGAAUGAUCACGUUUUCAAGAUGGUCAGGUUUUAUGGGAAAUUAGUUCAUACGAACACCUUCCUCCUUCAGGCCAAAGGAGACUGCAUGGCGACAACAGCUUUGCUGAAAAUGGUGUUUGAGAUAGGGAAGGAAGAACUGAGUUUUAAAAACAACUACAGAAGUCAAGGUCAAAUGCACAGCUCUACAGCUUGGCAUAGCAGCAUUUCUCACUUUUGCUGUGCCUAGCUGGCAUUUUAAAACAAUUGAGCAAUAGCAUUUACUGGUUUCUGAAACAUGAUUGUUUUAGAUUUACAAUGACAGUGCUUUCAAAAAUUUGACUUAUAUAACCUCUAAAGGUCAUACAAUAAAGUCUUCCUCAUACCUGACAGAAUAAACACAUUUCACAUAAAUCGCCCCAAUCUUAAAACCCUGGAAUUCAAGCAAACAAUCCUUGCCUUUGACAAACAUCAAGUCCUUGCUGUUAUUGCCUGAGGUGAAGGUGUCUUCACUGAUGUUCAUAUGUUAUUUGACCUACUGUUUCACAGAAAAUUAAUAUUAGUAAUUUUG